This 1182-nucleotide long non-coding RNA is filed under the name Oryctolagus cuniculus (rabbit). RNAcentral describes it as "lncRNA (ENSOCUG00000029626.2)". The record is from RNAcentral. Lineage: Eukaryota; Metazoa; Chordata; Mammalia; Lagomorpha; Leporidae.
AUGGCUGGGCGGACCCUGGCGCUGCGCUACGGCCCCCCAUGGUCCCCCAUCUCCGGAACUGAGGUGCCUGGGUCCUGGCCCAGCUGGCAUCUCACCAGCAGCGGCGUUGCGCACCACCACAUCCCCUCCCUGCCCUUCCCCCCGCCCAGCGUGCAGUGCACAGUCGCGGGGCCCCUGCCCCCGGCCGCGAAGCAGGACUGGCCCAUCGGGGCUUUCGACGAAGUCUUUAACACAUGGGAGACAACCUCGGGCUCGGCGCACGUGCGCAAGACUCACGGUGGGCCCUUGGCGCAGGCCCGGGCCCCGGAGCCCGCGGACCCCACGCGCACCUUGGGGAUCAAGUCUUUAGGAGAAAAGCUCAGACACCACGGCUGGCACCUGGCGGGGACCGCCGAGAUCCAGAGCGAGACGAAAGCGAAGUACCCGGGCUGGCUCCCCGCGCCGCUGCGCGCCCCCUCGCCCGGCGUGCCGCAGCCCCUGGAGCUCGCCGACCACCUCUGCGGGGGCCCUUCGCAGGCCCUCAUCCCCUGGACCAGGAACACGGAGCUGGCCGGCCAGCCCUUCAUGGUGUCUGACCAGGGCGUCCUGAACCGACACCAGCCCUACCUGACCACUACCGCCCGGGACUUCCGCUACUACACGAAGAAGGAGCUGUCCGGAUACCCGCGCAAGGACUCGCUGACCUACUGGAACUUCGAGCAGACGCCCCGGGUCUGGGCCGAUGGCCCGCAGCGGGCACCCUGUUCGCCUUUCCCUCAGCCCUCGCGGGUCCGCGUGCCCCGCGCCGCCGGCCGUGCCGCACCGCGGGGCCCUGCCCUUGGCUCGGGAGUCCUUCUGCCCCCCGCUGCACGCACUGCGCCGCCUCGACCUUUCCUGUCCUCUGGAGGCGCCCUGGGGAGGUCCCCACUGGAGGCCCCUGCCGGGCAUCUACAGCACGCCCAAAGCCUACAGCACCGAGAGCUCCCGCUACGGCAGCGGGAGGCCGGAGCUCGUGUGAGCGCGCCUGCCCACGGGGCCAGCCCGGCCGGGACUCCCCCGAGCAGCGGAGACAGCGCCCGGACUGGGACACGCCCACUCAACCACUUGGUGUGGGCGGGGCUACCCUUGAACACGCCCCCCAGCUCGCGGCGGGAGGGACUGAGACUGGAGAGGGGGCCAGGGCUCACCCCGUCCAAGAGUUAA